Molecule: long non-coding RNA, 2010 nt
Organism: Andrographis paniculata
Lineage: Eukaryota; Viridiplantae; Streptophyta; Magnoliopsida; Lamiales; Acanthaceae
Exons: 5
Source: RefSeq, a predicted model, not a curated record
UUAUGGACAUGCCACGAGCUUCUCUGUACAUUGAAUCCUUCACUAUAUCUCGAAGAUCAAGUGACUGCAUGGUCUUUGUCAAUGGAGGCUGUCGCUCUUUUUUAGCAAUGGUCUGCAAUAUGUUUUCAGAUGAUGAACAGGAUGGUCGGGAUGACUCAGUGGACAUUCUUGGUUUCUCCUUCAGAGGCUCUGAACUUUUUCCCUACGAGAGCCUUCUGCUGUUGUGGAUGCUAGCACGCUGGCCAGUGAUAAAGUGGUGACGAUCAAAGAGUUGAAUAAUUCCAUUAAUGCAUCCCAUCUGCUUCUUCAGGUUUUGAUUGCCAUCUGUUGCAGACGACAAUGCUAUUGCAGCUUGACAGAUGCAUAAGGCUUGUUUUAAAAACAGGAGACAGAGCACUUACUAGGAAAUGGGAAUCAUUUGGUAUAUGACUGACCCAAAAUGGAUUACUUUCCUGGAUUCCAGCUAUGAAGUCAGAUAGCGAUAACUGUUGAAUGAAACCAAGGUAUUGUUAGAAAAAGAAACUGGAGAAUAGAUACAUCCCAAUUCUGAUUACCCAGGUGUCAAACAACUGUCGAUGCUGCAGGCAUAGGGUAAGAUCAAGAGGUGAUAUUUUUGGGUUCUCACUCGGAAUAAUAUGAAAUGAAGCCUACCUAAACGGAUGUUUCUUAUUUGAAUAUGAAAGUGCAAUUUGCAAAUUGAAUUAUUUUAGACAAGCUUAUAUCUUCUUAAAAAUAGCUAGCCAUUGUACCGUCACCAAAUUUCUUGUUUAACUGUUAGCUCUCUACAAGGAAAGGCAGCUCCUGGAUGGCGGAUGGUUGAGCUCUUAAAGGGAAUGCAUAUACUAGAUUUGAUAAAGGUUAGUACUCCAAAUUUAUAUGAGAGAGUGUGAGUAAGAUCUAGUGUGAAUAUGUGGGACAUAUUUUCACUAUUCAUUUUCUGUCAUUUCCACGUGAACAUAACAAUAAGGGUGGAGCCUGGACCUCUUCUGGGCAUGUGGACUCUGUCAGGUAAUGGUAAGAAAGUGGCUUGAUGCCACUGGCAAUCUCUUUCAACUGUUUCUAUUUCCGCCUCAAUACCCAAAAGCAACAUUAUUAUUUGUCAGGAAAAAAAAUAAAGGCAGGUGACAUCAUAAUUCCUCCUAGAUUAUUCACCUAUUUGGAUUGGUAUGUAGCCAUUGAGCUUUCCAUUCAUGUUCUUGGUAAUGACAUUCACAUACAGUUAAAGUUUUGGGACAUAGCAAUUUGAUGGGAUUAUGAACUGUGGAUGGCAACUAUUAACGCAUGAGAGUAGUGUGGGUAUAGACUUAUAGUAUUAUCAGCUGGCAAGUAAUAACUUUUGUGCAAAAAGUUGUCAACUACUUUUUUAUUGGGUGGUUGAAAUUUGAUCUGAGUGUCAUGCAUUAUUUCUGUUGCCAUAAUAAAGAUUAGCAGCUUCUGUACAAUGUUGUUGAAAGUAUUCAAUGCUUGUUUUUCUCAGGCAAGUUCAUUUAGUUGGAGAAGGACUUCUCUUUGGUAUCAUUUACUUUUGGACUUUACUAGAAGCUCCGGAUCCCAUUAAUGUUUCUGUACCUGUGAUUCAUUACCUCGCUCAUUUGCUUUUAAUCUAUAUGCUAAAUCAUUCUCCUCACAGUUUGGCACCUCUUUUCUGUAGGAUCUGUGUCGCAUUCAGCCUUUUUUGGUAUAAGAUGAGCACAUAUGGUCAACAACUAAUCAGGCAAGGACAGUGUGUACAGAUUUAUAGUUUUCACUGCAUCAAAUGUUGCCAAGAAUUUGCCUGCUUAUUGCCCUUCUCCAAUCAAUGCCCCUUGUCUCCAUUUCUCUUUUGUUUCUUUCAAUAACAAUCAUGGUACUACUCACCAGAUGUCACUCAUUAUCAUAUAAAAAAAACCUAGGUUGAAAUUGAGUAUUAUUUGCUUUUUAUAAUUACACUCCCAUCUGACUUGUUUGCAAAAACAAUUCCCAUUUUGAAAUUUGAAUAGGUAUUUUGAAUUGAGUAUUCCCAUAGAUGAA